AAUUAUACCGUGAAACUGCGAAUGGCUCAUUAAAUCAGUUAUCGUUUAUUUGAUAGUACCUUACUACUUGGAUAACCGUGGUAAUUCUAGAGCUAAUACAUGCUAAAAACCCCAACUUCGGGAGGGGUGUAUUUAUUAGAUAAAAAACCAACGCCCUUCGGGGCUUCUUGGUGAUUCAUGAUAACUUUACGGAUCGCAUGGCCUUGCGCCGGCGACGGUUCAUUCAAAUUUCUGCCCUAUCAACUUUCGAUGGUAAGGUAUUGGCUUACCAUGGUUUCAACGGGUAACGGGGAAUUAGGGUUCGAUUCCGGAGAGGGAGCCUGAGAAACGGCUACCACAUCCAAGGAAGGCAGCAGGCGCGCAAAUUACCCAAUCCCGACACGGGGAGGUAGUGACAAUAAAUACUGAUACAGGGCUCUUUUGGGUCUUGUAAUUGGAAUGAGUACAAUUUAAACCUCUUAACGAGGAACAAUUGGAGGGCAAGUCUGGUGCCAGCAGCCGCGGUAAUUCCAGCUCCAAUAGCGUAUAUUAAAGUUGUUGCAGUUAAAAAGCUCGUAGUUGAAACUUGGGUCUGGCUGGCAGGUCCGCCUCACCGCGUGUACUUGUCCGGCCGGGCCUUCCUUCUGGAGAACCUCAUGCCCUUCACUGGGCGUGUUGGGGACCAGGACUUUUACUUUGAAAAAAUUAGAGUGUUCAAAGCAGGCCUUUGCUCGAAUACGUUAGCAUGGAAUAAUAGAAUAGGACGUGCGGUCCUAUUUUGUUGGUUUCUAGGACCGCCGUAAUGAUUAAUAGGGACAGUCGGGGGCAUCAGUAUUCAAUUGUCAGAGGUGAAAUUCUUGGAUUUAUUGAAGACUAACUACUGCGAAAGCAUUUGCCAAGGAUGUUUUCAUUAAUCAGUGAACGAAAGUUAGGGGAUCGAAGACGAUCAGAUACCGUCGUAGUCUUAACCGUAAACUAUGCCGACUAGGGAUCGGGCGAUGUUCUUUUUCUGACUCGCUCGGCACCUUACGAGAAAUCAAAGUUUUU
This 1026-nucleotide ribosomal RNA is filed under the name Phaeosphaeriaceae sp. RNAcentral describes it as "SSU rRNA". It matches the Rfam family "Eukaryotic small subunit ribosomal RNA", at positions 72 to 1108 of the family's 1831-position model. Lineage: Eukaryota; Fungi; Ascomycota; Dothideomycetes; Pleosporales; Phaeosphaeriaceae. The record is from RNAcentral.